CAGCAGCCGCGGUAAUACAGAGGGUGCAAGCGUUAAUCGGAAUUACUGGGCGUAAAGCGCGCGUAGGUGGUUUGUUAAGUUGGAUGUGAAAUCCCCGGGCUCAACCUGGGAACUGCGUUCAAAACUGACUGACUAGAGUAUGGUAGAGGGUGGUGGAAUUUCCUGUGUAGCGGUGAAAUGCGUAGAUAUAGGAAGGAACACCAGUGGCGAAGGCGACCACCUGGACUAAUACUGACACUGAGGUGCGAAAGCGUGGGGAGCAAACAGGAUUAGAUACCCGAGUAGUCCCUGUCUCUUAUAC
This 301-nucleotide ribosomal RNA is filed under the name uncultured bacterium. Its description in RNAcentral is "partial 16S ribosomal RNA". It matches the Rfam family "Bacterial small subunit ribosomal RNA", at positions 509 to 807 of the family's 1533-position model. The record is from RNAcentral.